GCCUGGGUGGCUCAGUCGGUUGAGCAUCCGACUUUGGUGCAGGUCAUGAUCUCGCAGUUCGUGGGUUCGAGCCCCACGUCAGGCU
Molecule: transfer RNA, 85 nt
Filed under: Felis catus (domestic cat)
Lineage: Eukaryota; Metazoa; Chordata; Mammalia; Carnivora; Felidae
Rfam family: tRNA
About the family: Transfer RNA (tRNA) molecules are approximately 80 nucleotides in length. Their secondary structure includes four short double-helical elements and three loops (D, anti-codon, and T loops).
Source: Rfam by way of RNAcentral